This 443-nucleotide ribosomal RNA is filed under the name uncultured bacterium. Its description in RNAcentral is "partial 16S ribosomal RNA". It matches the Rfam family "Bacterial small subunit ribosomal RNA", at positions 338 to 795 of the family's 1533-position model. The record is from RNAcentral.
CCUACGGGUGACAGCAGUGGGGAAUAUUGGACAAUGGGGGCAACCCUGAUCCAGCGACGCCGCGUGAAGGAAGAAGUAUUUCGGUAUGUAAACCUCUAUCAUCAGGGACGAAAGAAAUGACGGUACCUGAAUAAUAAGCCCCGGCUAACUACGUGCCAGCAGCCGCGGUAAUACGUAGGUGGCAAGCGUUAUCCGGAUUUACUGGGUGUAAAGGGGGAGUAGACGGCGGUGCAAGUCUGAAGUGAAAAGCAGGGGCUCAACCCCUGGCCUGCAUUGGAAACUGUGGUGCUGGAGGGCAGGAGAGGCAAGCGGAAUGCCGAGGGUAGCGGUGAAAUGCGUAGAUAUUAGGAGGAACACCAGUGGCGAAGGCGGAUUACUGGACUGUAACUGACGUUGAGGCUCGAAAGCGUGGGGAGCAAACAGGAUUAGAUACCCGAGUAGUC